This 2566-nucleotide ribosomal RNA is filed under the name Shigella sonnei. RNAcentral describes it as "partial 23S ribosomal RNA". It matches the Rfam family "Bacterial large subunit ribosomal RNA", at positions 367 to 2915 of the family's 2925-position model. The record is from RNAcentral. Lineage: Bacteria; Pseudomonadati; Pseudomonadota; Gammaproteobacteria; Enterobacterales; Enterobacteriaceae.
ACAGCCCCGUACACAAAAAUGCACAUAUUGUGAGCUUGAUGAGUAGGGCGGGACACGUGGUAUCCUGUCUGAAUAUGGGGGGACCAUCCUCCAAGGCUAAAUACUCCUGACUGACCGAUAGUGAACCAGUACCGUGAGGGAAAGGCGAAAAGAACCCCGGCGAGGGGAGUGAAAAAGAACCUGAAACCGUGUACGUACAAGCAGUGGGAGCACGCUUAGGCGUGUGACUGCGUACCUUUUGUAUAAUGGGUCAGCGACUUAUAUUCUGUAGCAAGGUUAACCGAAUAGGGGAGCCGAAGGGAAACCGAGUCUUAACUGGGCGUUAAGUUGCAGGGUAUAGACCCGAAACCCGGUGAUCUAGCCAUGGGCAGGUUGAAGGUUGGGUAACACUAACUGGAGGACCGAACCGACUAAUGUUGAAAAAUUAGCGGAUGACUUGUGGCUGGGGGUGAAAGGCCAAUCAAACCGGGAGAUAGCUGGUUCUCCCCGAAAGCUAUUUAGGUAGCGCCUCGUGAAUUCAUCUCCGGGGGUAGAGCACUGUUUCGGCAAGGGGGUCAUCCCGACUUACCAACCCGAUGCAAACUGCGAAUACCGGAGAAUGUUAUCACGGGAGACACACGGCGGGUGCUAACGUCCGUCGUGAAGAGGGAAACAACCCAGACCGCCAGCUAAGGUCCCAAAGUCAUGGUUAAGUGGGAAACGAUGUGGGAAGGCCCAGACAGCCAGGAUGUUGGCUUAGAAGCAGCCAUCAUUUAAAGAAAGCGUAAUAGCUCACUGGUCGAGUCGGCCUGCGCGGAAGAUGUAACGGGGCUAAACCAUGCACCGAAGCUGCGGCAGCGACGCUUAUGCGUUGUUGGGUAGGGGAGCGUUCUGUAAGCCUGCGAAGGUGUGCUGUGAGGCAUGCUGGAGGUAUCAGAAGUGCGAAUGCUGACAUAAGUAACGAUAAAGCGGGUGAAAAGCCCGCUCGCCGGAAGACCAAGGGUUCCUGUCCAACGUUAAUCGGGGCAGGGUGAGUCGACCCCUAAGGCGAGGCCGAAAGGCGUAGUCGAUGGGAAACAGGUUAAUAUUCCUGUACUUGGUGUUACUGCGAAGGGGGGACGGAGAAGGCUAUGUUGGCCGGGCGACGGUUGUCCCGGUUUAAGCGUGUAGGCUGGUUUUCCAGGCAAAUCCGGAAAAUCAAGGCUGAGGCGUGAUGACGAGGCACUACGGUGCUGAAGCAACAAAUGCCCUGCUUCCAGGAAAAGCCUCUAAGCAUCAGGUAACAUCAAAUCGUACCCCAAACCGACACAGGUGGUCAGGUAGAGAAUACCAAGGCGCUUGAGAGAACUCGGGUGAAGGAACUAGGCAAAAUGGUGCCGUAACUUCGGGAGAAGGCACGCUGAUAUGUAGGUGAAGUCCCUUGCGGAUGGAGCUGAAAUCAGUCGAAGAUACCAGCUGGCUGCAACUGUUUAUUAAAAACACAGCACUGUGCAAACACGAAAGUGGACGUAUACGGUGUGACGCCUGCCCGGUGCCGGAAGGUUAAUUGAUGGGGUCAGCGCAAGCGAAGCUCUUGAUCGAAGCCCCGGUAAACGGCGGCCGUAACUAUAACGGUCCUAAGGUAGCGAAAUUCCUUGUCGGGUAAGUUCCGACCUGCACGAAUGGCGUAAUGAUGGCCAGGCUGUCUCCACCCGAGACUCAGUGAAAUUGAACUCGCUGUGAAGAUGCAGUGUACCCGCGGCAAGACGGAAAGACCCCGUGAACCUUUACUAUAGCUUGACACUGAACAUUGAGCCUUGAUGUGUAGGAUAGGUGGGAGGCUUUGAAGUGUGGACGCCAGUCUGCAUGGAGCCGGCCUUGAAAUACCACCCUUUAAUGUUUGAUGUUCUAACGUGGACCCGUGAUCCGGGUUGCGGACAGUGUCUGGUGGGUAGUUUGACUGGGGCGGUCUCCUCCUAAAGAGUAACGGAGGAGCACGAAGGUUGGCUAAUCCUGGUCGGACAUCAGGAGGUUAGUGCAAUGGCAUAAGCCAGCUUGACUGCGAGCGUGACGGCGCGAGCAGGUGCGAAAGCAGGUCAUAGUGAUCCGGUGGUUCUGAAUGGAAGGGCCAUCGCUCAACGGAUAAAAGGUACUCCGGGGAUAACAGGCUGAUACCGCCCAAGAGUUCAUAUCGACGGCGGUGUUUGGCACCUCGAUGUCGGCUCAUCACAUCCUGGGGCUGAAGUAGGUCCCAAGGGUAUGGCUGUUCGCCAUUUAAAGUGGUACGCGAGCUGGGUUUAGAACGUCGUGAGACAGUUCGGUCCCUAUCUGCCGUGGGCGCUGGAGAACUGAGGGGGGCUGCUCCUAGUACGAGAGGACCGGAGUGGACGCAUCACUGGUGUUCGGGUUGUCAUGCCAAUGGCACUGCCCGGUAGCUAAAUGCGGAAGAGAUAAGUGCUGAAAGCAUCUAAGCACGAAACUUGCCCCGAGAUGAGUUCUCCCUGACCCUUUAAGGGUCCUGAAGGAACGUUGAAGACGACGACGUUGAUAGGCCGGGUGUGUAAGCGCAGCGAUGCGUUGAGCUAACCGGUACUAAUGAACCGUGAGG